Molecule: small RNA, 145 nt
Filed under: Smithella sp. F21
Lineage: Bacteria; Pseudomonadati; Thermodesulfobacteriota; Syntrophia; Syntrophales; Smithellaceae
Also listed under: 1 other name
Description: c-di-AMP riboswitch aptamer (ydaO/yuaA leader)
Rfam family: c-di-AMP riboswitch aptamer (ydaO/yuaA leader)
About the family: This family represents a conserved RNA structure found upstream of the ydaO and yuaA genes in Bacillus subtilis and related genes in other bacteria. The ydaO/yuaA element is thought to act as a genetic "off" switch for the ydaO and yuaA genes in its native state. It is believed that the element may be triggered during osmotic shock leading to activation of ydaO, a predicted amino acid transporter gene, and members of the yuaA-yubG operon which code for KtrA and KtrB K+ transporters.
Source: Rfam by way of RNAcentral
CCAAAUAUUAAGCCUAAAUCCAUUAUAACCAAAUGGAUACGGGGGAACCGAGUUACUUUGGGGCGUAUUUCUUCCAUCAUGAAGAAUAGGACUCUUCCCUGUCCGAGCCCGUCAGCUAACCUCGGCGGCGUAUGGGAGAAAUAAG